RNAcentral lists this small nucleolar RNA (140 nucleotides) under Dasypus novemcinctus (nine-banded armadillo). Lineage: Eukaryota; Metazoa; Chordata; Mammalia; Cingulata; Dasypodidae. The record is from RNAcentral.
UACCUCUGAGGAUAGCAUCUGGAGAAUGGCUAGUAUUCCACCAGCUUCAGAGAUAGGAGGGAAAGCAAGCCAGGCAGAGAUCCCCAUUCCAUUCCCAGUUUACUCAAUAGCUGGCAAUUGGAAGACACUCUGCAACAGUG